GCUGGUGUAGCUCAGCCGGUAGAGCAGCGGUUUCGUAAACCGCAGGUCGUGGGUUCAAGUCCCACCGCCAGCU
RNAcentral lists this transfer RNA (73 nucleotides) under Omnitrophica bacterium RIFCSPLOWO2_12_FULL_50_11. RNAcentral describes it as "tRNA-Thr". It matches the Rfam family "tRNA". Rfam says of the family: Transfer RNA (tRNA) molecules are approximately 80 nucleotides in length. Lineage: Bacteria; Pseudomonadati; Candidatus Omnitrophota. The record is from RNAcentral.